GACGAACGCUGGCGGCGUGCUUAACACAUGCAAGUCGAACGAUGAAACCUAGCUUGCUAGGUCGAUUAGUGGCGAACGGGUAAGUAACACGUGACUAACCUGCCCCUUUCUCUGGGAUAACGCUCCGAAAGGAGUGCUAAUACCGGAUACUCACACCGAGGCACAUGCCUUGGUGUGGAAAGUUUUUCGGAAAGGGAUGGAGUCGCGGCCUAUCAGCUUGUUGGUGAGGUAACGGCUCACCAAGGCGACGACGGGUAGCCGGCCUGAGAGGGCGACCGGCCACACUGGGACUGAGACACGGCCCAGACUCCUACGGGAGGCAGCAGUGGGGAAGAUUGCACAAUGGGCGCAAGCCUGAUGCAGCGACGCCGCGUGAGGGAUGAAGGUCUUCGGAUUGUAAACCUCUUUCAGUAGGGACGAAGCGAAAGUGACGGUACCUAAAGAAGAAGCACCGGCUAACUACGUGCCAGCAGCCGCCGUAA
This 482-nucleotide ribosomal RNA is filed under the name uncultured bacterium. RNAcentral's name for it is "partial 16S ribosomal RNA". It matches the Rfam family "Bacterial small subunit ribosomal RNA", at positions 28 to 523 of the family's 1533-position model. The record is from RNAcentral.